Molecule: transfer RNA, 60 nt
Filed under: Scrippsiella hangoei
Lineage: Eukaryota; Dinophyceae; Peridiniales; Peridiniaceae
Rfam family: tRNA
About the family: Transfer RNA (tRNA) molecules are approximately 80 nucleotides in length. Their secondary structure includes four short double-helical elements and three loops (D, anti-codon, and T loops). Further hydrogen bonds mediate the characteristic L-shaped molecular structure. tRNAs have two regions of fundamental functional importance: the anti-codon, which is responsible for specific mRNA codon recognition, and the 3' end, to which the tRNAs corresponding amino acid is attached (by aminoacyl-tRNA synthetases). tRNAs cope with the degeneracy of the genetic code in two manners: having more than one tRNA (with a specific anti-codon) for a particular amino acid; and 'wobble' base-pairing, i.e. permitting non-standard base-pairing at the 3rd anti-codon position.
Source: RNAcentral
GGAGUGGCGCAGUGGUUAGCGUGUUGGGCUCAUAACCCAAAGGUCGGUGGACCGAAACCA